CACGUAGGGCGCAAGCGUUGUCCGGAAUUAUUGGGCGUAAAGAGCUCGUAGGCGGUUUGUUACGUCUGCUGUGAAAACCUAGGGCUUAACCCUGGGCUUGCAGUGGAUACGGGCAGACUAGAGGUAGGUAGGGGAGAAUGGAAUUCCUGGUGUAGCGGUGAAAUGCGCAGAUAUCAGGAGGAACACCGGUGGCGAAGGCGGUUCUCUGGGCCUUACCUGACACUGAGGAGCGAAAGCGUGGGGAGCGAACAGG
This 253-nucleotide ribosomal RNA is filed under the name uncultured bacterium. RNAcentral describes it as "partial 16S ribosomal RNA". It matches the Rfam family "Bacterial small subunit ribosomal RNA", at positions 524 to 776 of the family's 1533-position model. The record is from RNAcentral.